UACGUAGGGUGCAAGCGUUAAUCGGAAUUACUGGGCGCAAAGCGUGCGCAGGCGGUUUUUCAAGACAGAUGUGAAAUCCCCGGGCUUAACCUGGGAAUGGCAUUUGUGACUGGAAGGCUAGAGUGUGUCAGAGGGGGGUAGAAUUCCACGUGUAGCAGUGAAAUGCGUAGAGAUGUGGAGGAAUACCGAUGGCGAAGGCAGCCCCCUGGGAUAACACUGACGCUCAUGCACGAAAGCGUGGGGAGCAAACAGG
Molecule: ribosomal RNA, 253 nt
Filed under: uncultured bacterium
Lineage: Bacteria
Description: partial 16S ribosomal RNA
Rfam family: Bacterial small subunit ribosomal RNA
Source: RNAcentral